RNAcentral lists this transfer RNA (73 nucleotides) under Spirochaetales bacterium. Its description in RNAcentral is "tRNA-Val". It matches the Rfam family "tRNA". Rfam says of the family: Transfer RNA (tRNA) molecules are approximately 80 nucleotides in length. Lineage: Bacteria; Pseudomonadati; Spirochaetota; Spirochaetia; Spirochaetales. The record is from RNAcentral.
GGGCGUUUAGCUCAGUUGGGAGAGCGCCUGCCUUACAAGCAGGAUGUCAGGAGUUCAAGUCUCUUAACGCCCA